Molecule: transfer RNA, 75 nt
Filed under: Candidatus Woesearchaeota archaeon
Lineage: Archaea; Nanobdellati; Candidatus Woesearchaeota
Description: tRNA-Ile
Rfam family: tRNA
About the family: Transfer RNA (tRNA) molecules are approximately 80 nucleotides in length. Their secondary structure includes four short double-helical elements and three loops (D, anti-codon, and T loops).
Source: RNAcentral
GGGCCCAUAGCUCAGCCUGCUUAGAGCACCUGUCUAAUUAUCAGGGGGUCAGGGGUUGAAAUCCCCUUGGGCCCA